GAUGAACGCUGGCGGCGUGCCUAAUACAUGCAAGUCGAGCGAACAGAUGAGGAGCUUGCUCCUCUGACGUUAGCGGCGGACGGGUGAGUAACACGUGGAUAACCUACCUAUAAGACUGGGAUAACUUCGGGAAACCGGAGCUAAUACCGGAUAAUAUAUUGAACCGCAUGGUUCAAUAGUGAAAGACGGUUUUGCUGUCACUUAUAGAUGGAUCCGCGCCGCAUUAGCUAGUUGGUAAGGUAACGGCUUACCAAGGCAACGAUGCGUAGCCGACCUGAGAGGGUGAUCGGCCACACUGGAACUGAGACACGGUCCAGACUCCUACGGGAGGCAGCAGUAGGGAAUCUUCCGCAAUGGGCGAAAGCUUGACGGAGCAACGCCGCGUGAGUGAUGAAGGUCUUCGGAUCGUAAAACUCUGUUAUUAGGGAAGAACAAAUGUGUAAGUAACUAUGCACGUCUUGACGGUACCUAAUCAGAAAGCCACGGCUAACUACGUA
Molecule: ribosomal RNA, 497 nt
Filed under: uncultured bacterium
Lineage: Bacteria
Description: partial 16S ribosomal RNA
Rfam family: Bacterial small subunit ribosomal RNA
Source: RNAcentral